RNAcentral lists this ribosomal RNA (75 nucleotides) under Palythoa sp. yoron MM-2017. Its description in RNAcentral is "partial 28S ribosomal RNA". It matches the Rfam family "Eukaryotic large subunit ribosomal RNA", at positions 1 to 75 of the family's 3401-position model. The record is from RNAcentral. Lineage: Eukaryota; Metazoa; Cnidaria; Anthozoa; Zoantharia; Sphenopidae.
CGACCUCAGAUCGGGCGAGACUACCCGCUGAAUUUAAGCAUAUCAAUAAGCGGAGGAAAAGAAACUAACAAGGAU